Molecule: ribosomal RNA, 500 nt
Filed under: uncultured Glomeromycotina
Lineage: Eukaryota; Fungi; Glomeromycota
Description: partial small subunit ribosomal RNA
Rfam family: Eukaryotic small subunit ribosomal RNA
Source: RNAcentral
CCAAUAGCGUAUAUUAAAGUUGUUGCAGUUAAAAAGCUCGUAGUUGAAUUUCGAGAUCAAUUUUCUUGGUCAUACCUUUGUAUGUACUGGUCUUAUUGAUUUCUCCCUUCUGAUGAACCAUAAUGUCAUUAAUUUGGUGUUUUGGGGAAUCAGGACUAUUACUUUGAAAAAAUUAGAGUGUUUAAAGCAGGCUCACGCUUGAAUACUUUAGAAUGGAAUAAUGAAAUAGGACAUUUGAUUCUAUUUUGUUGGUUUCUAGGAUUGACGUAAUGAUUAAUAGGGAUAGUUGGGGGCAUUAGUAUUCAAUUGUCAGAGGUGAAAUUCUUGGAUUUAUUGAAGACUAACUACUGCGAAAGCAUUUGCCAAAGAUGUUUUCAUUAAUCAAGAACGAAAGUUAGGGGAUCGAAGACGAUCAGAUACCGUCGUAGUCUUAACCAUAAACUAUGCCGACUAGGAAUCGGAUGAUGUUAAUUUUUUAAUGACUCAUUCGGCGCCUUACG